This 85-nucleotide transfer RNA is filed under the name Felis catus (domestic cat). It matches the Rfam family "tRNA". From Rfam's summary of the family: Transfer RNA (tRNA) molecules are approximately 80 nucleotides in length. Lineage: Eukaryota; Metazoa; Chordata; Mammalia; Carnivora; Felidae. The record is from Rfam by way of RNAcentral.
GCCUGGGUGGCUCAGUCGGUUGAGCGUCUGACUUCAGCUCAGGUCACGAUCUCGCGGUCCGUGGGUUCAAGCCCUGCGUCAGGCU